UACAGAGGUCCCGAGCGUUGUUCGGAUUCAUUGGGCGUAAAGGGUGUGUGGGAGGUUAGGUAAGUCGAGUGUGAAAUCUCAUCGCUUAACGAUGAAAUGGCGCUCGAUACUGCUUAGCUAGAGGAUCGGAGGGGAGAGCGGAAUUCUUGGUGUAGCAGUGAAAUGCGUAGAUAUCAAGAGGAACACCGGUGGCGAAGGCGGCUCUCUGGACCGAUACUGACGCUGAGGCGCGAAAGCGUGGGGAACAAACAGG
Molecule: ribosomal RNA, 253 nt
Filed under: uncultured bacterium
Lineage: Bacteria
Description: partial 16S ribosomal RNA
Rfam family: Bacterial small subunit ribosomal RNA
Source: RNAcentral